GAAGCCUUUAAGCCGGUCCCGUGAGGCUGGCAAGGGAAAAAACAAAUAAAUCCGCAUCGAUAACCCCUUGUCACCCACGGCAAGGGGUUUUUUUAU
This is a non-coding RNA of Chloroflexi bacterium RBG_13_46_9, 96 nucleotides long. The record is from Rfam. NCBI's taxonomy places the organism in Bacteria, Bacillati, Chloroflexota.